RNAcentral lists this small RNA (206 nucleotides) under Pan troglodytes (chimpanzee). RNAcentral describes it as "processed transcript". Lineage: Eukaryota; Metazoa; Chordata; Mammalia; Primates; Hominidae. The record is from RNAcentral.
ACACUAUGAUACCCUGGCAACUGGAAUAAUUUAUUUUCAUCGCUUCUAUAUGUUUCAUUCCUUCAAGCAAUUCCCAAGAUAUGAGCCUGUUGCCUCUUUCUGGCUGGGAAAGUAGAAGAAACACCAAAAAAAUGUAAAGAUAUCAUCAAAACAGCUCGUAGUUUAUUAAAUGAUGUACAAUUUGGCCAGUUUGGAGAUGACCCAAA